GCUUUUAUCACUUUUUUCGUAGAGCAGGGGAUUGAAAAUCCCCGUGUCCUUGGUUCGAUUCCGAGUCCGGGCACCA
RNAcentral lists this transfer RNA (76 nucleotides) under Salmonella enterica subsp. enterica serovar Typhimurium. RNAcentral's name for it is "tRNA-Phe". The record is from RNAcentral. Lineage: Bacteria; Pseudomonadati; Pseudomonadota; Gammaproteobacteria; Enterobacterales; Enterobacteriaceae.